CACCGGCGAACGGGUGCGUAACACGUGAGCGACCUGCCCCGGCUUGUGGGGGAUAGCCGGCCCAACGGCCGGGUAAUACCGCAUACGUUCUUUUGGGGGCAUUCCCGGGAGAAGAAAACUCAGGUGCAGGCGGAGGGGCUCGCGGCCUAUCAGCUAGUUGGCGGGGUAACGGCCCACCAAGGCGGUGACGGGUAGCUGGUCUGAGAGGAUGGCCAGCCACAUUGGGACUGAGAGACGGCCCAG
Molecule: ribosomal RNA, 243 nt
Filed under: uncultured bacterium
Lineage: Bacteria
Description: partial 16S ribosomal RNA
Rfam family: Bacterial small subunit ribosomal RNA
Source: RNAcentral